Molecule: long non-coding RNA, 222 nt
Organism: Mytilus californianus (California mussel)
Lineage: Eukaryota; Metazoa; Mollusca; Bivalvia; Mytilida; Mytilidae
Exons: 4
Source: RefSeq, a predicted model, not a curated record
GACAAUAAUGACAAAGAAGAUGAAGAGCAGCAUCCUUUAAAUGAAUCAGGACUAGAAUGUCAAAAGAAACUAUUUGAAGAUGAGGACAUGGUUAUAGAUGAUAGUUUUCAUGGCAGUUAUGGUUAUAAUAGUGAAGAUGAGAUGAGUCCACUUUACCCUCUGGAUAGUUCCUUGUUGAGGAUGGUAUAGAAGUGGUGAAAAAUACUUAUGCAUUUAAGAUAG